This 551-nucleotide ribosomal RNA is filed under the name uncultured bacterium. RNAcentral's name for it is "partial 16S ribosomal RNA". It matches the Rfam family "Bacterial small subunit ribosomal RNA", at positions 355 to 895 of the family's 1533-position model. The record is from RNAcentral.
UGGGGAGUUUUGGACAAUGGGCGAAAGCCUGAUCCAGCAAUGCCGCGUGUGUGAAGAAGGCCUUCGGGUUGUAAAGCACUUUUGUCCGGAAAGAAAUCCUUGGCUCUAAUACAGUCGGGGGGUGACGGUACCGGAAGAAUAAGCACCGGCUAACUACGUGCCAGCAGCCGCGGUAAUACGUAGGGUGCAAGCGUUAAUCGGAAUUACUGGGCGUAAAGCGUGCGCAGGCGGUUUGCUAAGACCGAUGUGAAAUCCCCGGGCUCAACCUGGGAACUGCAUUGGUGACUGGCAGGCUAGAGUAUGGCAGAGGGGGGUAGAAUUCCACGUGUAGCAGUGAAAUGCGUAGAGAUGUGGAGGAAUACCGAUGGCGAAGGCAGCCCCCUGGGCCAAUACUGACGCUCAUGCACGAAAAGCGUGGGGGAGCAAAACAGGAUUAGAUACCCUGGUAGUCCACGCCCUAAAACGAUGUCAACUAGUUGUUGGGGAUUCAUUUCCUUAGUAACGUAGCUAACGCGUGAAGUUGACCGCCUGGGGAGUACGGUCGCAAGAUU